This is a long non-coding RNA of Macaca fascicularis (crab-eating macaque), 1916 nucleotides long. The record is from Ensembl. Lineage: Eukaryota; Metazoa; Chordata; Mammalia; Primates; Cercopithecidae.
GCCCUCCCAGGCUCUGUCUGCACAGGGGCCUGCCAGUGGUGGGCUCAGCCAGAGACCCUCAUCCUGAGUGGGAUGACCUGAGUGUGACGGCUGCUUUUCUCUCUUGCUUCUGACACCAGGAAGAAGCUUGCUCCUGAUGCACCAGGAAACUGAAACUGAAACUCAGGGCCCUAGUCCAGGACCCUCCUCUCUAUUGAGUCACAAUUUCUCCUUCUAAGGCAACCUCCCACCCCAGGGGCUUCUCUCUCACGGCAGCCCCUCCUCCUUCCGGGUCUGUUCUGCUCACACCCUGAGCUCUGGGAGGCCCCAGGCAGAGAAGGGGGGUGGGGGGUGGUCUUGCUCGAGGUCACGUCUGCCUUCCAGAGCAGCCAGGUCAGGUCACAUCUGCUUUCCAGGCACAGAAGGGUGGGGUGAGGGGGGUCUUGCUCGAGGUCACAUCUGCCUUCUAGAGCAGCCAGGUCAGGACGGAAGGGUUUCUACCCCUCAGUUCCCGUACUACGAGAUGAUGCGGUGAGGCCAUCGGCUGUGUGCAUAUUACACAAGCAAUCUGGGUUCCUCCUCAUAAACCAGACGUGGGGCAGAGGUUCCCAGGCUCGGGGGUGCAAGGCCUCCCCUAGCUCUUUCCAGGCUCGGAGCCUCUGUGCCACACCUGCCCUCAAUGCACCCACACCCAAGACCAUGAAGGUCACCGGCCCCUGCUGCUGCUGGCGCAGCUGUGGGUGAAGCCCUGUAAGUGGGGGCUGAGGGUGGAGGAUGGGAAGGAGGCCUGAAGGUGGGAGUGAGACCCUCUCAAUGCUGGGGGCUCCAGAUGCCAGCAGGACCCUGCCCACAAUUCUGAGUAGCCAAGGGCACCUGAGCCUACCUGUGUGCUGCCCAGGCCUGCUGCCUGUGCUGGUGAGAGGGACUGGAACCCACCCUUCAGCCUGGGACCCUGACCUGCACCCUCCCCGCCCCAUCCCGAGUCAGGGCCUUGAGUGCUUCCAGUGCUACGGUGUCUUGGACCCCAGCCUGUGCCACCCGUCUCCGACCCCAUGCAGGCUCAAAGCUGCCCCUCCUCUGUGGUCACUGGCACUACCAAUGGGCAGAAAUUCAGCUACGCUAGCAAGAGCUGUGCCCCCACCCCGUGCCCAGAUUAUGAACCUCACCCAUCCUGUGGUCCAUGGAGGGUCUUACCCCAUAGAAACUGAGGAUGGACUGAUUGACUUGAAGACUGAAGCUGGACAUGACCUGCUGUGAAAGAGCCUCUGUAACAAGGCAGCCAGCGGGUGCGGCUUUGGGGCCUGGCUGUCAGGGAGCUCCUGCUCAGCCUGGGCCUCUUCCUUUGGGCCCUGCUGUGAGCCCAGCCCACCCUGGCACUGCCCCUGGUGGGUAAAUAGGAGCGCAGGGCAGUUGCCCUGUGCAGCCCUCAGCUCCUGCCCUGAUGCCCUCGCCUAGCUGCCCAGCAGCCCAGAGACCCCCCUCACCCAGCAGCCUAGAUGCCCACUGACCCAGAUAGUAAAUGCAUGUGUUCAACCCAAGGACUUUGUUCCUUAUUAACCCUUGGGGUCUGGUCUGUGGCCUCAGGGGUCCCAGCAAAUUCCCCAAGGUGGGGUUCAGAGACUGGAGGGCCUUCCCCAGGUGGCCCAGCCCUGUGCUCAUUUCCAGCCAGGAUCAGGCUCAGCCCCAGCCCGAGGUCCAGAAGCAGCCCGGAGGGUCUUGCACUCAGGGCUGGGGCCACCCAGGAAGACUUGUUGGGGGCUGACGGAGGGGGCGGAGGGGUGGAGGCACUAAGGGCCCAGGCCAGCUGUGGCUGCCGGAUGUGUGAAACGGUCCCGGGCCCACAGGCUGGUGACUCCUGCAAGGCACCGCAGAGGGCGGGGGUGUCAAGGGGGCAGAGGCUGUUGAUGGGGGAGGCAGCGCAGGGUUCUGCCUGGGCC